UACAGAGGUCCCAAGCGUUGUUCGGAUUCACUGGGCGUAAAGGGUGCGUAGGUGGUGAGGUAAGUUUGAUGUGAAAGCUCCGAGCUUAACUCGGAAAUUGCAUUGAAUACUACUUUGCUAGAGGGUUGUAGGGGGGACUGGAAUUCUCGGUGUAGCAGUGAAAUGCGUAGAUAUCGAGAGGAACACCAGUGGCGAAGGCGAGUCCCUGGACAACACCUGACACUGAGGCACGAAAGCUAGGGGAGCAAACAGGAUUAGAUACCCUGGUAGUCCUAGCUGUAAACGGUGCACAUUUGCUGUGAGAGGAAUCGACCCUUCUCGUGGCGUAGCUAACGCGAUAAAUGUGCCGCCUGGGAAGUACGGUCGCAAGAUUA
This 374-nucleotide ribosomal RNA is filed under the name uncultured prokaryote. RNAcentral describes it as "bacterial SSU rRNA". It matches the Rfam family "Bacterial small subunit ribosomal RNA", at positions 524 to 896 of the family's 1533-position model. The record is from RNAcentral.